Molecule: non-coding RNA, 45 nt
Filed under: Schistosoma mansoni
Lineage: Eukaryota; Metazoa; Platyhelminthes; Trematoda; Strigeidida; Schistosomatidae
Source: RNAcentral
AUCCAGCUGACCAGUCCCAAAUAGGAUGAAACGCACGUCCUGGAU